ACGAAGGGGGCUAGCGUUGCUCGGAAUUACUGGGCGUAAAGCGCACGUAGGCGGUCUUUUAAGUCAGGAGUGAAAUCCUGGAGCUCAACUCCAGAACUGCCUUUGAUACUGGAGAGCUUGAGUCCGGGAGAGGUGAGUGGAACUCCGAGUGUAGAGGUGAAAUUCGUAGAUAUUCGGAAGAACACCAGUGGCGAAGGCGGCUCACUGGCCCGGUACUGACGCUGAGGUGCGAAAGCCAGGGGAGCGAACGGGA
Molecule: ribosomal RNA, 253 nt
Filed under: uncultured prokaryote
Description: partial 16S ribosomal RNA
Rfam family: Bacterial small subunit ribosomal RNA
Source: RNAcentral